GAUGUGAAGAUGAUCUGUUGGCAACAUCUGUCAUGCCAUUGGUCACCUGAUAUGGCUGGCUAGGUGUCCCCUUCUUCUUCUGCCACGGCAUGUGCAUCCAGAUUUGAGUGCUCGGUCACAAAAGAUGACCUUCCCUAGCGGAGGACCAUUCUUUAGUCAAGGGUACACUAGAAGCUUCAUUUAUCUUCUAGAGUCUCUAAAGAGCCCCUCAAGAAGUGCCGAGCUCCUGUGUCUCCCCUGAGCGACAUUGCUACUGUCCUGCAAAAAGUAUCCAAGG
Molecule: small nuclear RNA, 277 nt
Filed under: Peromyscus maniculatus bairdii (prairie deer mouse)
Lineage: Eukaryota; Metazoa; Chordata; Mammalia; Rodentia; Cricetidae
Description: 7SK RNA (ENSPEMG00000002494.2)
Rfam family: 7SK RNA
About the family: 7SK was discovered as an abundant small nuclear RNA in the mid-70s but a possible function has only recently been suggested.
Source: RNAcentral